This 460-nucleotide ribosomal RNA is filed under the name uncultured bacterium. RNAcentral's name for it is "partial 16S ribosomal RNA". It matches the Rfam family "Bacterial small subunit ribosomal RNA", at positions 338 to 795 of the family's 1533-position model. The record is from RNAcentral.
CCUACGGGAGGCUGCAGUGAGGAAUAUUGGGCAAUGGACGAGAGUCUGAACCAGCCACGUAGCGUGAAGGAUGACUGCCCUAUGGGUUGUAACCUUCUUUUAUAAAGGAAUAAAACGAGGCACGUGUGCCUUUUUGCAUGUACUUUAUGAAUAAGGAUCGGCUAACUCCGUGCCAGCAGCCGCGGUAAUACGGAGGAGCCGAGCGUUAUCCGGAUUUAUUGGGCUUAAAGGGAGCGUAGAUGGGUUGUUAAGUCAGUUGUGAAAGUUUGGGGCUCAACCUUAAAAUUGCAAUUGAUACUGGCAGUCUUGAGUGCGUUUGAGGUAGGCGGAAUUCGUGGUGUAGCGGUGAAAUGCUUAGAUAUCACGAAGAACCUCGAUUGCGAAGGCAGCUAACUAAACUGUGACUGACAUUGAUGCGCGAAAGUGUGGGUAUCAAACAGGAUUAGAUACCCGGGUAGUC